GAUUAUAUGCUUGUCUCAAAGCUUAAGCCAUGCAUGUGUAAGUACAAACUAAAUAAAAGUGAAACCGCGAAUGGCUCAUUAAAUCAGCUAUGAUUCAUUGGGUGUACCACUAUUUUAGUUACUUGGAUAACUGUGGUAAUUCUAGAGCUAAUACAUGCACAUAUAGUCCCUUGAAGAAACCUUUAAAUUUUUUUGUAGUCAGACAAAUAAUUUUUAGGUGCUUCAACAGGGCGCUUUUAUUAGUAUCAUAACCGGUGAAAUCAGACCUUUUUGGUCUGUAAAACCCUAUUAUGGUGACUCUGGAUAACUUUUAGCCGAGCGCACAGUCUUUUGCACUGGCGCCGCUUCUUUCAAGUGUCUGCCUUAUCAGCUUUCGAUUGUAGGUUAUGUGCCUACAAUGGCUAUAACGGGUAACGGGGAAUCAGGGUUCGAUUCCGGAGAGGGAGCCUGAGAAACGGCUACCACAUCUAAGGAAGGCAGCAGGCACGCAAAUUACCCACUCCCGGCUUGGGGAGGUAGUGACGAAAAAUAACGAUGCGAGACUCAUCCGAGGCCUCGCAAUCGGAAUGAGUACACUUUAAAUCCUUUUGCGAGGAUCAAUUGGAGGGCAAGUCUGGUGCCAGCAGCCGCGGUAAUUCCAGCUCCAAUGGCAUAUAUUAAAGUUGUUGCGGUUA
RNAcentral lists this ribosomal RNA (674 nucleotides) under Phylladiorhynchus butes. Its description in RNAcentral is "SSU rRNA". It matches the Rfam family "Eukaryotic small subunit ribosomal RNA", at positions 21 to 621 of the family's 1831-position model. The record is from RNAcentral. Lineage: Eukaryota; Metazoa; Arthropoda; Malacostraca; Decapoda; Galatheidae.